This 497-nucleotide ribosomal RNA is filed under the name uncultured bacterium. RNAcentral describes it as "partial 16S ribosomal RNA". It matches the Rfam family "Bacterial small subunit ribosomal RNA", at positions 28 to 507 of the family's 1533-position model. The record is from RNAcentral.
GAUGAACGCUGGCGGCGUGCCUAAUACAUGCAAGUCGAGCGAACGGACGAGAAGCUUGCUUCUCUGAUGUUAGCGGCGGACGGGUGAGUAACACGUGGAUAACCUACCUAUAAGACUGGGAUAACUUCGGGAAACCGGAGCUAAUACCGGAUGAUAUUUUGAACCGCAUGGUUCAAAAGUGAAAGACGGUCUUGCUGUCACUUAUAGAUGGAUCCGUGCUGCAUUAGCUAGUUGGUAAGGUAACGGCUUACCAAGGCAACGAUGCAUAGCCGACCUGAGAGGGUGAUCGGCCACACUGGAACUGAGAAACGGUACAGACUCCUACGGGAGGCAGCAGUAGGGAAUCUUCCGCGAUGGGCGAAAGCCUGACGGAGCAACGCCGCGUGAGUGAUGAAGGUCUUCGGAUCGUAGAACUCUGUUAUUAGGGAAGAACAUAUGUGUAAGUAACUGUGCACAUCUUGACGGUACCUAAUCAGAAAGCCACGGCUAACUACGUG